Molecule: ribosomal RNA, 908 nt
Filed under: uncultured Bacillota bacterium
Lineage: Bacteria; Bacillati; Bacillota
Description: bacterial SSU rRNA
Rfam family: Bacterial small subunit ribosomal RNA
Source: RNAcentral
GGAUCCAGACUUUGAUUCUGGCUCAGGAUGAACGCUAGCUACAGGCUUAACACAUGCAAGUCGAGGGGAAACGACAUCGAAAGCUUGCUUUUGAUGGGCGUCGACCGGCGCACGGGUGAGUAACGCGUAUCCAACCUGCCCACCACUUGGGGAUAACCUUGCGAAAGUAAGACUAAUACCCAAUGACGUCUCUAGAAGGCAUCUGAAAGAGAUUAAAGAUUUAUCGGUGAUGGAUGGGGAUGCGUCUGAUUAGCUUGUUGGCGGGGUAACGGCCCACCAAGGCGACGAUCAGUAGGGGUUCUGAGAGGAAGGUCCCCCACAUUGGAACUGAGACACGGUCCAAACUCCUACGGGAGGCAGCAGUGAGGAAUAUUGGUCAAUGGACGAGAGUCUGAACCAGCCAAGUAGCGUGCAGGAUGACGGCCCUAUGGGUUGUAAACUGCUUUUAUAAGGGAAUAAAGUGAGUCUCGUGAGACUUUUUGCAUGUACCUUAUGAAUAAGGACCGGCUAAUUCCGUGCCAGCAGCCGCGGUAAUACGGAAGGUCCGGGCGUUAUCCGGAUUUAUUGGGUUUAAAGGGAGCGUAGGCCGGAGAUUAAGCGUGUUGUGAAAUGUAGACGCUCAACGUCUGCACUGCAGCGCGAACUGGUUUCCUUGAGUACGCACAAAGUGGGCGGAAUUCGUGGUGUAGCGGUGAAAUGCUUAGAUAUCACGAAGAACUCCGAUUGCGAAGGCAGCUCACUGGAGCGCAACUGACGCUGAAGCUCGAAAGUGCGGGUAUCGAACAGGAUUAGAUACCCUGGUAGUCCGCACGGUAAACGAUGGAUGCCCGCUGUUGGUCUGAAUAGGUCAGCGGCCAAGCGAAAGCAUUAAGCAUCCCACCUGGGGAGUACGCCGGCAACGGUGCAAC